UGAUUUGUGAUGAUAUGGCCUAGAUAGGCAAC
RNAcentral lists this small RNA (32 nucleotides) under Bombyx mori (domestic silkworm). RNAcentral's name for it is "ovarian small RNA-33214". The record is from RNAcentral. Lineage: Eukaryota; Metazoa; Arthropoda; Insecta; Lepidoptera; Bombycidae.